UACGGAGGGUGCGAGCGUUGUCCGGAUUUAUUGGGUUUAAAGGGUGCGUAGGAGGCUUUAUAAGUCAGUGGUGAAAUACAGCCGCUUAACGGUUGAGGUGCCAUUGAUACUGUGGAGCUUGAAACAAGUGGAGGCUGCCGGAAUGGAUGGUGUAGCGGUGAAAUGCGUAGAUAUCAUCCAGAACACCGAUUGCGAAGGCAGGUGGCUACGUUUGAUUUGACACUGAGGCACGAAAGCAUGGGGAGCAACAGG
RNAcentral lists this ribosomal RNA (252 nucleotides) under uncultured bacterium. RNAcentral's name for it is "partial 16S ribosomal RNA". It matches the Rfam family "Bacterial small subunit ribosomal RNA", at positions 524 to 775 of the family's 1533-position model. The record is from RNAcentral.